AGAGUUUGAUCAUGGCUCAGAACGAACGCUGGCGGCAUGCCUAACACAUGCAAGUCGAACGAGACCUUCGGGUCUAGUGGCGCACGGGUGCGUAACGCGUGGGAAUCUGCCCUUGGGUUCGGGAUAACAGUUGGAAACGACUGCUAAUACCGAAUGAUGACUUCGGUCCAAAGAUUUAUCGCCCAGGGAUGAGCCCGCGUCGGAUUAGCUAGUUGGUGAGGUAAAGGCUCACCAAGGCGACGAUCCGUAGCUGGUCUGAGAGGAUGAUCAGCCACACUGGGACUGAGACACGGCCCAGACUCCUACGGGAGGCAGCAGUGGGGAAUAUUGGACAAUGGGCGAAAGCCUGAUCCAGCAAUGCCGCGUGAGUGAUGAAGGCCUUAGGGUUGUAAAGCUCUUUUACCCGGGAUGAUAAUGACAGUACCGGGAGAAUAAGCCCCGGCUAACUCCGUGCCAGCAGCCGCGGUAAUACGGAGGGGGCUAGCGUUGUUCGGAAUUACUGGGCGUAAAGCGCGCGUAGGCGGCUUUGCAAGUUAGAGGUGAAAGCCCGGAGCUUAACUCCGGAACUGCCUUUAAAACUGCGUCGCUAGAAUCGUGGAGAGGUGAGUGGAAUUCCGAGUGUAGAGGUGAAAUUCGUAGAUAUUC
RNAcentral lists this ribosomal RNA (645 nucleotides) under uncultured bacterium. RNAcentral describes it as "bacterial SSU rRNA". It matches the Rfam family "Bacterial small subunit ribosomal RNA", at positions 8 to 699 of the family's 1533-position model. The record is from RNAcentral.